CGGAAGGAGCGCUGGAAGUUCUGUGAGCCUCAGCGUUAAAAUGUGUUAGGGUUUGGGAUCCUGACUCCCUUUCUGGGGGCAACUCCUAUAAACAGAUUUAGCCUAGGACUCGUGUGUUGAAAUUGACUUGCCCCAUUCCUGCCAGUUAGAGGAUUAGCGAUACAGGUGGUGAAAAAGAAACAAUGACAACCCUAAGACCUGAGCCCCUUCUGGACCCCACACUCCACCUGUGGAACUUCAGUGGGGCCUUGUGUGGCCGAACCACAGUCCAAUCAUUUGUCGCUAGCCACCACCAUCUCGAGGGGAAAUGCCCCAAAUGUGGAAGUAUCUGACACCAGGACUGGGGAUUGGAGCACUGGAUGAACAGCGUGGGUGCCAUUCUUUUACUGUGUACUGUCCUAAGAAAGAAAAUGCUUUCCCUUUGAAGAGCCUAGUGCUGAGUGCCCCAUUCAAUCGGACCACGCAGGGCGGUCUGAGGAUUAAAAGAUGCUACCUUUAA
Molecule: long non-coding RNA, 499 nt
Organism: Piliocolobus tephrosceles (Ugandan red Colobus)
Lineage: Eukaryota; Metazoa; Chordata; Mammalia; Primates; Cercopithecidae
Exons: 2
Source: RefSeq, a predicted model, not a curated record